CUGUGAGUAUGAGUGUGAGUGUGACUGCGACUGCAAGUGAGUAUGAGUGUGAGUGUGACUGCGACUGCGAGUGUGAGUGUGAGUGUGAGUGUGAGUGUGAGUGUGAGUGAGUGAGUGUGUGUGUGUACGUGAGUGUGAGUGUGAGUUUGAGUCUGUAUGUGUGAGUAGUAUAUAAAUCAAUAUACAUAUACGUUAGUAACUGUAUAAAGUGAUAGUAAGUGUAUAUAUAGCCAUAUACAUAAAUGUAUAUAAAAAUGUAUAUGUUAGUGCACUGUAUAUAGACAAUUAUGCACUUUAUACAUACAUAUCAA
This 311-nucleotide long non-coding RNA is filed under the name Amborella trichopoda. RNAcentral's name for it is "long non-coding RNA (ATRI_LNC004336)". Lineage: Eukaryota; Viridiplantae; Streptophyta; Magnoliopsida; Amborellales; Amborellaceae. The record is from RNAcentral.